AGCGAACGCUGGCGGCAGGCUUAACACAUGCAAGUCGAACGGGCACUUCGGUGUCAGUGGCAGACGGGAGAGUAACACGUGGGAACGUGCCCUUUGGUUCGGAACAACUCAGGGAAACUUGGGCUAAUACCGGAUAAGUCCGUAAGGAGAAAGAUUUAUCGCCAAAGGAUCGGCCCGCGUCUGAUUAGCUAGUUGGUGAAGUAACGGCUCACCAAGGCGACGAUCAGUAGCUGGUCUGAGAGGAUGAUCAGCCUCACUGGGACUGAGACACGGCCCAGACUCCUACGGGAGGCAGCAGUGGGGAAUCUUGGACAAUGGGCGCAAGCCUGAUCCAGCCAUGCCGCGUGGGUGAUGAAGGCCCUAGGGUUGUAAAGCCCUUUCGGCGGGGAAGAUAAUGACGGUACCCGCAGAAGAAGCCCCGGCUAACUUCGUGCCAGCCGCCGCCGUAAG
RNAcentral lists this ribosomal RNA (450 nucleotides) under uncultured bacterium. Its description in RNAcentral is "bacterial SSU rRNA". It matches the Rfam family "Bacterial small subunit ribosomal RNA", at positions 29 to 524 of the family's 1533-position model. The record is from RNAcentral.